UGUAGUCAUAUGCUUGUCUCAAAGAUUAAGCCAUGCACGUCUAAGUACAUGCCGACUUAAGGCGAAACCGCGAAUGGCUCAUUAAAUCAGUUACGGUUCACUGUAUUCUAACUUCCUACUUGGAUAACUGUGGUAAUUCUAGAGCUAAUACAUGCCUCGGGUUCUCAACUGCGUGCCAGGCAACUGGUUGCAGACGAGACGCACUUAUUAGACCAAGACCAGCCCCGUCAGCAAUGGCGGGCAAUCUGUUGGUGACUCUGGAUAAUUAUCGCAUGACCGCAUGGCCUCGUGCCGGCGGCUAGUACAUCAAGUGUCUGCCUUAUCAACUGUCGAUGGUGGGUUAUACGCCCACCAUGGUUGCAACGGGUAACGGGGAAU
RNAcentral lists this ribosomal RNA (378 nucleotides) under uncultured eukaryote. Its description in RNAcentral is "bacterial SSU rRNA". It matches the Rfam family "Eukaryotic small subunit ribosomal RNA", at positions 21 to 370 of the family's 1831-position model. The record is from RNAcentral.